CGAACGCUGGCGGCGUGCCUCAUACAUGCAAGUUGAGCGCUGAAGGUUGGUACUUGUACCAACUGGAUGAGCAGCGAACGGGUGAGUAACGCGUGGGGAAUCUGCCUUUGAGCAGGGGACAACAUUUGGAAACGAAUGCUAAUACCGCAUAAAAACUUUAAACACAAGUUUUAAGUUUGAAAGAUGCAAUUGCAUCACUCAAAGAUGAUCCCGCGUUGUAUUAGCUAGUUGGUGAGGUAAAGGCUCACCAAGGCGAUGAUACAUAGCCGACCUGAGAGGGUGAUCGGCCACAUUGGGACUGAGACACGGCCCAAACUCCUACGGGAGGCAGCAGUAGGGAAUCUUCGGCAAUGGACGAAAGUCUGACCGAGCAACGCCGCGUGAGUGAAGAAGGUUUUCGGAUCGUAAAACUCUGUUGGUAGAGAAGAACGUUGGUGAGAGUGGAAAGCUCACCAAGUGACGGUAACUACCCAGAAAGGGACGGCUAACUACGUG
This 495-nucleotide ribosomal RNA is filed under the name uncultured bacterium. RNAcentral describes it as "partial 16S ribosomal RNA". It matches the Rfam family "Bacterial small subunit ribosomal RNA", at positions 30 to 507 of the family's 1533-position model. The record is from RNAcentral.